Molecule: long non-coding RNA, 2530 nt
Organism: Cyanistes caeruleus (blue tit)
Lineage: Eukaryota; Metazoa; Chordata; Aves; Passeriformes; Paridae
Source: Ensembl
CUUCUGACGGCCAGCACAAGAAGAAUUUGCAUUACCUGCAUCACCCAGCUGGGGACCUGCUCAUUCUCUCAUUUGGAGCCCUAAGUCGCAGGACUUACAGUUCUAUAUUUUUCCUGUUAGUCUCACAGGUUUUUUCUUCCUUUUUUUCUUCCCACAUUGCUAAUGCAAUUGUUCAAAUUUUGAAGGUUGCUGGGCACAUUGGAUGGAUAUGUCCUCAGUCCCUGAGUAAGAGAUAACUUUUCUCCAGGUUUUUAGCAACAAUGCCAUAAAUUAUUACCCUGACAUAGAAUUUAAUUGCACAGUUAAAAACAUCAUUUACCAGGCUUUUAGCAUGCCCUGCUAAAUUCUCCACUUUUUCAUCUAAUCUCUGUAGGCCCUCGUUACAUUUGCAGAGACCUGUAUGGGUUUCAUUCCUGUUAAACAUGUCAGUAAAUCACAGCAGGAAAAAACCCUGACACAUUUCCCUAGGAAUUUUCUCUGCAGCCUGAGCUCCCAACCCUGCGGCUUCCCGUUCAAUAGGUCAGCCCAGACCCCAUUUGUCAUUGCUCUUUAAUUACUGUGGAACCUCUAAUCCAGGCCACAAAUUCCUCCCUGCUCAUACUUCUUUUUACUUCAGAAUGCGUAUCUAAUAGCAACCAAGGACUUUUCCUAUUUUCUCACUUGGAAUCUGUUUUGGGAGCUUGGAAUUGCUAUCUAACUGAAUCAGUAACAUCUGUGACUUCGGGGCAGCUUGAGUGGGAAUAGUUAGAGGGUUAGACAGAUUUCCUGCAUUUUAGGACUCCUUUCCUCUGAAGAGGCUGCUUUGGGACAAUUCAGUUCCAUCUAAUGGCGCUUCUUCCCUUUUUCUUCCCAUUUAUUUUUUGUUGUUUAACCCCAUCCCUGCUUCCUCUUUCUUCAUCUCCUCCAUCCCUCCAAGUUGUUUAGGUUUUUCAGAAGUAAAAAUUAUUUUAAAGAACCUCGCCAACAUUUUGAAAAGUUUCAGUUUCAAACACAUGAAAAGGAAAAGUCAGAAGGGAUUCCUAGAACUGUACUGCAGCUUGCAGGGAAAAGUUACUUUGACUUCAGCAGAGUGGAGAUCUUGCCAUCCAGAAUGGAGAUUUACUUCCUGCUGUGAGGAAGUCUGCUGAAUUUUAGUGAGUAAAUCAGAAAGCCAAGAGAGAUUCUGAUAUUGCUUAAGCACUAAUGUAGAAGUCCUAAGCUUUAUUCCUUCUCUAAACAUGGCAGCUUCUCUCUCCAUUUCUUGAUAGAUAAAUGCAGUUUUUCAGAGCUACUCAGUUUCGUGUGAAACGUGGUUUGGGUAGAAAGUAAGAAAAAGGCUCUAUUAUUAAAACUACUUGAAUAUUAAAAAUAACCCUUGGUUUAAAUUUUCUGUUCUUAAUUUUUACUCCUUUAAAGUAUUUCUCCUUGUAUGUCUCAAUGGGCCCAAAUUCCAAAGACUUACUUAAAGCAGGGCACCUAAUGACCUGUACAAUGCGUUUUCAGCCGUGAGAAAUGCUCAUGGCUGUGGGUAGGAACGGGUUAACACACUUCCAAACAGUAGCAAGCAGGUCACUGCCAUUUCUCUCUGCCUCAUCAUGUCACCACAGUAAUUCACACUCUGAAACCUUAAGGCUAUAGCUGCAAACGUGCUGCAAACAGAAGCUUCUGAGCUGUCUCUGAAAUGAGGCUGAUCCUGAAUGAGCGGAGUGAUCCUUGGUGCUCCUUGCCAUCCACAAGACACCUGUCUGGUUCUGUGUUUUGCUUAAAGUGUGGAUUCUGGUGUGCAUUAUCCCAAAGCUAAGAUAUCUGAUAAACCAGCAGUAGAUGUCUGGAUUCGUAAUUCCUGGCAGCCCUUCAAUGCAGAUCCUUGGAGAUAACAACAGAGAUGUUCCCAAAACAGGGCUCCUGGUCUUUCCAGUGGUUCAUGACUGUACUGGUGUUUGAACCAGGGCACCAACCCGGACAUUCUCCCUGCUGCCUCCUGCACAUUCACAACUUCUGCUUUUCCUAAGAAUGUUUAUUUUGCAAAUUAAUGGCAAAUGCUCAGGCUGAGGGAUUUGCUACCCUUUGUAAAUCAGGAGUUGAGCAUUUGCCUGGUAUUUCUCACACCAGACUUUUCCAAAAGCACUUUCAUGAAAAGCAUUUAAGCACCAAGACUUUUGCUUGAUAAGAUCAAAGUGUGAUACAGAAGUAGGAUGCAGGUGUUACAAUUACAUUUGGAAAAAUCAUACAUGAAAAAGGAGGCACUGAAGAAUUUCAGAGAACACUUUUCCUAAAGAGAUGUGACACCAGUCUCUGUUAACCAGUCUUGCCAUAUAGCUCAAAAAGAGAUUUGAACCACUUUGGCUUCUUGUGCAGGACACAUGAGUCUUGCAUAGAGAAAGAAACUGUCCUUGGAGUUUGGUCUUCCAAAAUAAUGGUCCACUAAACAAAAGCAAGGGAAGAACAGCUCUGCCAUCUGCUAGGUAAGUAUAAAAUUUACAAGGUUCCUUCAUUUUGGUUACUGCCAUAACUGAAUAAACAUUUUUGGUGCUGAGUGUAUAGUUUUGAA